Small nucleolar RNA from Euleptes europaea (tarantolino), 98 nucleotides. RefSeq annotates it as small nucleolar RNA U13. The transcript has a single exon. NCBI's taxonomy places the organism in Eukaryota, Metazoa, Chordata, Lepidosauria, Squamata, Sphaerodactylidae. The record is from RefSeq and is a predicted model, not a curated record.
AUCCUUCAGGUUCUUUAACGUGAUGAGUGGGUUGUGCACGCGCCUGCGUGAAAUGUGCCGUCCCGAUUGUUACGACGGGGCACACUACCCAUCUGAUU